Molecule: ribosomal RNA, 439 nt
Filed under: uncultured bacterium
Lineage: Bacteria
Description: partial 16S ribosomal RNA
Rfam family: Bacterial small subunit ribosomal RNA
Source: RNAcentral
CUACGGGCGGCAGCAGUGAGGAAUAUUGCACAAUGGGGGGAACCCUGAUGCAGCAACGCCGCGUGGAGGAUGACGCAUUUCGGUGUGUAAACUCCUUUUAUAUGUCAAGAAAAUGACGGUAGCAUAUGAAUAAGCACCGGCUAACUCCGUGCCAGCAGCCGCGGUAAUACGGAAGGUGCAAGCGUUACUCGGAAUCACUGGGCGUAAAGGACGCGUAGGCGGGUUGGAAAGUCAGGUGUGAAAUCCUACAGCUUAACUGUAGGACUGCACUUGAAACUUCUAAUCUAGAGUAUGGGAGGGGGAGAUGGAAUUAGUGGUGUAGGGGUAAAAUCCGUAGAUAUCACUAGGAAUACCUAAAGCGAAGGCGAUCUCCUGGAACAUUACUGACGCUAAGGCGUGAAAGCGUGGGGAGCAAACAGGAUUAGAUACCCGUGUAGUC